UACAGAGGUCUCAAGCGUUGUUCGGAAUCACUGGGCGUAAAGCGCACGUAGGCGGAUUGCUAAGUCAGGGGUGAAAUCCUGGAGCUCAACUCCAGAACUGCCUUUGAUACUGGCGACCUUGAGUCCGGGAGAGGUGAGUGGAACUGCGAGUGUAGAGGUGAAAUUCGUAGAUAUUCGCAAGAACACCAGUGGCGAAGGCGGCUCACUGGCCCGGUACUGACGCUGAGGUGCGAAAGCGUGGGGAGCAAACAGG
RNAcentral lists this ribosomal RNA (253 nucleotides) under uncultured bacterium. RNAcentral's name for it is "partial 16S ribosomal RNA". It matches the Rfam family "Bacterial small subunit ribosomal RNA", at positions 524 to 776 of the family's 1533-position model. The record is from RNAcentral.